AAUGAACGCUGGCGGCGCGCCUAAUACAUGCAAGUCGAGCGAGAAGACGUAGCAAUACGUUUGUAAAGCGGCGAACGGGUGAGGAAUACAUGGGUAACCUACCCUCGAGUGGGGAAUAACUAGCCGAAAGGUUAGCUAAUACCGCGUACGCUCCUUGGACUUCGGUUCAGGGAGGAAAGCGAUACCGUGGGUAUCGCGCUCUUGGUUGGGCUCAUGUCCUAUCAGCUUGUUGGUGAGGAACGGCUCACCAAGGCUUCGACGGGUAGCUGGUCUGAGAGGACGAUCAGCCACACUGGCACUGCGACACGGGCCAGACUCCUACGGGAGGCAGCAGUAAGGAAUAUUGCGCAAUGGGCGAAAGCCUGACGCAGCGACGCCGCGUGGGGGAGUGAAGGUC
RNAcentral lists this ribosomal RNA (397 nucleotides) under uncultured bacterium. RNAcentral's name for it is "bacterial SSU rRNA". It matches the Rfam family "Bacterial small subunit ribosomal RNA", at positions 29 to 416 of the family's 1533-position model. The record is from RNAcentral.